This 506-nucleotide ribosomal RNA is filed under the name uncultured bacterium. RNAcentral describes it as "partial 16S ribosomal RNA". It matches the Rfam family "Bacterial small subunit ribosomal RNA", at positions 29 to 523 of the family's 1533-position model. The record is from RNAcentral.
AGUGAACGCUGGCGGCAGGCCUAACACAUGCAAGUCGAACGGCAGCACAGGAGAGCUUGCUCUCUGGGUGGCGAGUGGCGGACGGGUGAGGAAUACAUCGGAAUCUACUCUGUCGUGGGGGAUAACGUAGGGAAACUUACGCUACUACCGCAUACGACCUACGGGUGAAAGCAGGGGAUCUUCGGACCUUGCGCGAUUGAAUGAGCCGAGGUCGGAUUAGCUAGUUGGCGGGGUAAAGGCCCACCAAGGCGACGAUCCGUAGCUGGUCUGAGAGGAUGAUCAGCCACACUGGAACUGAGACACGGUCCAGACUCCUACGGGAGGCAGCAGUGGUGAAUAUUGGACAAUGGGCGCAAGCCUGAUCCAGCCAUACCGCGUGGGUGAAGAAGGCCUUCGGGUUGUAAAGCCCUUUUGUUGGGAAAGAAAUCCAGCUGGCUAAUACCCGGUUGGGAUGACGGUACCCAAAGAAUAAGCACCGGCUAACUUCGUGCCAGCAGCCGCCGUAA